CAAGCAUUCAUAGGAGAACAAAGGAACACAAUAAAAUCAUAGAAAAACUACACACAAAGACUGACAAUGUCAAGUCAAACUUGAGUUUCUAGAAAGUAUUGGGACCUAGAGGCAAAAGAAGAUAAAACUUUAAAGUAAUAGCGUGAAUCCACUGAUAGACCAGACAGAACCCACUGCCUGAGUGCUGCUUCUGCCCAGAACAUUGGGGGAACCCUGCAGCAUUACAGCGGCAGUCCGGGAGCAGUGUUGGAAUCUGCGGUAAGAUGCCGAACUUUAAGUAACUUUAGAGACUGUUUCAUGGAAAGCAGCACUGCUGUCACUGCAAACAUGAGGAAAUCUGCAGAUGCUGGAAAUUCAAACAACACACACAAAAUGCUGGUAGAACACAGCAGGGGUUAGCGCUAACUUCGUCACGGGGAUCAUCGCGCAGAGGCGCUUCUCAGAAAUGGCGUGAGACUUAAGAAGAGCUUGCGAUCCUUCAGGAGAGUUUGCCUGGUUUGAAAACAUAACGGUCGAAGGCCAUAACAGUCCAUUAGAGAAACGGAGACUGUGAAGGUUGGAAUCCGUCUACGAAGUCCGAGAGGCAACCAGCUUUUUCACCAUAUGACUGAUUACUUAUGGCUUAUGACUAACUUUAUGACUAAUGACUAAGGACUAAGGACUAAUGACUGAUGGAACUAACGGAACUAUCAAACUGCCGCAAUUGCGAAAAAUAAAAGGAGAAAAAAAAGGUAAAGUUAUUUGGUCAUUGAGUGGAAUCUGGUUAAAAAACCUUCAGGUAGGCGCACUCAAUCUCCUUCAAGUGGGGAAGCUGCACAUGUUCAAAAAAUAACACGAACUCCGACCUGACAGACAAUCAACCAAUUAGAAAAAGACUAACUGCAAAUACAAGUAGAGAAAAAGAAAGCAAACAAACAACGGUACAAUGAGUCAGCCUGAUGUUUGGUGGUAGCUUUCCACUCAGCAUGAUAUUGACUCUGAGAGCAUGAACACAGAUAUGGAAGGGAGUCAGUCUGAAUUGGUAUUACACUCCAAGUAAACAGUCAGAACAUUCCAAAAGGCCUUCAGCCAAUCAUAGUAAGUAGAAGAAACACAAUAGAAUAAACAAGACUUCUCCAACAAGAUGGACAAACAACCAAUGUGAAAAGAAACAUAACAAAACUAUGUAAUUACAACAAGAAAGAGAAAAAAAAGAAUGAAUGAAUAAAUAAAUAAACAGAGAAUAUGAGAUAAAAUAUCCUUGGAAGUGAGCCCAUAGGUUGUGGGUACAGUUGAUUUCAGUGAUGAGGUAAGUGAAGUUAUUCCCUCUGGUCAAGAGCCUGAUGGUUGAGAAGUAAUAACUAUUCCUGAGUUUGCUUGUGUGGGUCCUGAGUCUCCUGCACCUUCUUGAUGGUAGCAGAGAGAAGAGAGCAUGGCUGGAUAAUUGGGUCCUUAAAGGUGGGUGCUGAUUUCCUGCAGCAGUGCUCAGUGUAGAUGUACUCAAUGGCAGGAAGAGCUUUACUCGUGAUAGAUUAGGCCGUAUCCACUAUAUUUUAUAGGCUUUUCCAUAUUGGUGUUUCCAUACCAGGCCAUGAUGCAACCAGUCAAUAUACUCUCCAACACACAUCUGUAGAGGUCUUUCAAAGUUUUAGAUGACAUGCCUAAUCUUCAUAAACUUUUAAGGAAAUAGAGGCAACACCAUGCUUUCUUUGUAAUGGCACUUACAUGUUGGAUCUAGGACAGAUCCUCUGAAAUGAUAACACAGAGGAAUUUAAGACUGCUGAGCCUGUCCACCUCUGAUCCCCCAGUGAGGACUGGCUCAUGGACCUCCAGUCUGCUCCUCCUCAAGUCAAUAAUCAGCUUCUUGGUCUUGCUUACAUUGAAAGAGAGGUUGUUGUUGUGGCCCCACUCAUCCAGAUUUUGAAUCUUCCUCCUAUAUGCUGAUUCAUCACCACAUUUGAUUCGGCCAAUGACAGUGGCACCAUCAGCAAACUUAAAUAUGACAUUGGAGCUGUGCUUAACCUCACAGUUAUAAGCGUAAAGUAAGUAGAGCAGGGGGCUAAGCACACAGACUUGUGGUCCACCUAAGCUGAUGGAGAUAGCGGUGGAGCUGACUGGGAUCUGUAAGUGAGGAAAGUGAGGAUCUAGUUGCACAAGGAGGUUUUGAGGCCAAGGUCUUGAAGCUUAUUGAUUAGUUUUGAGGGGAUGAUAUUAUUGAAUGCCAAAGAGUAGUUAAGGAAGAGCAUCAUGAAAUAUGCAUCUUUGCUGUGCAUAUGUUUCAGGAAUUAGUUAAGAGGCAGUAAAGUGGCAUCUGCCAUUGACCUUUUGUGGCAGUAAGCAAGUUGAAGCAGAUCCAAGUUGCUUCUCAGACAGGAGAUGAUAUGUUUCAUGUCCAACCUCUCAAAGCACUUCAUCACAAUGGAUGCAAGUGCUACUGGACAAUAGUGAUUAAGGCAGGUUACAAGAUUCUUCUUAGCACCAGUAUAAUUAAAGCUGCUUGAAGCAGGUGACUACCUCAGACUGCCAAAGUGAUAGAUUAAAGGUAUCGGUGAACACCCUUGCUAGUUGAUCAGCAAUGGUCUUUAGUAUCCGGCCAGGUACCCCAUCUGGGCCAGGUGCUUUCCAUGGGUUCACCCUCCUAUAGGAUGCUCUCAUGCUGGCCUCAAAGACUGAAAUCAUAGCAUCAUCAGGGGCUGUGGGAGUCCAAGAAGGUGCCUUCAUGUUUUUAUGGUCAAAGUGAGCAUGAAAGGCAUUCAACUUAUCUUAGAAUGAAGCCUUGUUGUCAACUAUGUCACUUGGUUUCACUUUGCAUUCAAGCCCUGCCACAACUGUCAAACAUCCUUUAGUGAUUCAAUUUGGUCCAGAAUUGCUACUUUACACAUGAGAUCACUUUCCAGAGAUCCACCUGGACCUCUUGUAUUUAAUAGCUGCCUGAUCUGAAUGCCACUGAUCUGACCCUCAGCAGACUGCAGAUCUCAUGGUUCAUCCAGGGCUUCUAGUUACGGAAGAAUCUGAAUGAUUUUUUGGGAACACACUUGACUACAAAUUUUUAUAAAGUCCAUGACAGCUGUGGUGUAUUUGUUUCGAUCCUCUGAUGAGUCCUUGAACAUAGCCAGUACAUCAACUCAAAGCAAUCCCACAGCCACUUCUCUGCCCCCUGUGACACCUCUCUUGUCCUUAUCUCUGGAGCCUUUCUCUUUAACUUCCCCCUGUAUGCAGGUGGGAGAGGGCCAGCUAAGUGAUCAGAUUUCACUAAAUGUGGUCUAGGCAUGGAAUGGUAGGCAUUCCUAACUGUAGUGCAAUAGUGGUCGAGAAUGUUGGGUCCCCUGGUGCUGCAAGUGAUAUGGUGAUGAUAAUUGGGCAGAGAUUUCUUCAAACAAGCCUGAGUGAAGACCUCAACAAUGAUUUGAAAGACAUCAGGGUAGGUUGUUUCUUGUUUGCUGACUAUGACAGUCUAUACCUUGAGUGCCUGCUUAACAUCAGCUUUUAGUGGUAUGUAAGCAUUGGUAAGGAUCACGGAGAAGAACUCUCUUGGGUAGUAGAAUGGUUGGCACUUAACUAUGAGAUGGUCCAGGUCAGGGGAACAAGAGUGCGACAAGACUACUGCAUCCAAACAUCACAAAGAGUUUAUCAUGAAACACAGACCCCUACCUUUUGCCUUCUCUGAAUCAGCAGUACUGUACGUUUGGUGUAUCGAGCAACCCUCCGAUCUUGUCAAUGUAUCUGGUGUGUCCAGAGUAAGCUAUGCAUCCAUGAAGCACAUCUCCUCAAUUCCUCAUUACCCUCUGACGCAGCAAUCUUGCCCUCAAUCUUGUUCUCCAACGAUUAUAUAUUUGCUAACAAGAUGUUGGGUAGAUGACAUUUCAUUCCUUGGCAUUUCAGUCCUCCCCUCCUUCCUCCCUUCUGGCUAUGGUGAUGUACCUUUGUCUACUUAAAGGUGCCAUACUUGCAGGCUUGAGAGUUAAGUCCACUGCGUCCUUCAGAAGUUCAUGAAAUCACUAGUUCAUUAAGGCAGUUCUAACGUAGGUUAUUUAAAGAGAAAUUACAGACUGCAGAUUGCAGUGAGAGUAGUUCCGAAGAAGUAUAUUUGGUUGCUUUGUAAGCUGCCUGCAGCACGUUGCUGUGGUUCAUCAGCACCCUCUUGUCUCCUUUAUACACGUGAACUGACAAAUGGCAAUAAAAUAUCUUGAAUUUUGGCAGCAAAAAAAACUACUGCUAGUUAUAAUGUUUUAUAGGCCCAUAUAGUUUUUCUUUCUGAAUAAUGCAAAGAGUGGAGAGAACAGAGAUUUGCAAGUGACAUUUCUGAAAGGUUUAUUACUUUUAAGACUAAGUUGCCCUCAAACUGGGACAAUAAUUAAGCAGAGUCUAUGUAGAGAAAAAUGUCUACCCUCUUUAGCAGUUCUGGCUGAAUUGAAUAAUUUCGGCCACUCACUUUCAGAAGACGGUUGGACGGUUACAUAGAUACGAGCCCAACACAGAAAAAUGGGACUAAUGCAAGGGAUGUGGGCCAAAUGCGGGUAAACAGGACUAGCUUUAAUGGGCAUCUUGGUUGGCAUGAAUCAGUGAGACUAAAGGGCCUUUUUUUGUUUUGUAUGACUCUAUGACAGCCAACAGGGUGGCUUUAUUUUAUUUGUUUCUCUGUUAUUCAUGUGCUAUAACAAAAUCACAGAUCUAGCAAGGUUAUAAUAUUGCACAUUAUUUCAAAAAUCAAAAGGCAAUCUUUUGCUUUCAAGCAAAGAAAUAUCAAGUUGAUAAGAGGGAAUAAUAAAUUAGCCAUAAUCAGACUGGAUGAGCCAAAUGGCCUAAUUCUGCUCCUAUGUCUUAUGAUCUUAAUGACGUCACAGUGUAAAAUGAAGCAGCCUCAAGCAAAUGUCACGGGGAAUAAUUCUGAAAUUUAGGAAAGGUCCUCAUUAUUGUGAGAAUGUAAUUGUUCCUUCCAAAGUUCAUAUUGGAUUCAAAGAAUAAUAAGGGGCCGAAGGUGGCCAAUCAGUCCAACAUGCUUUGUUUUUUGAGAAACCUAACAAACUGCAUCACUACAGGAAACUGCAAUGUGGUAGAUAAGGCUUUAUAACAGGUAGUCAAAACUACUCAAUGCAUCACCAGCAGCAGCCUAUCCACCAUCAAGGACAUAAAAAUGCUGGAAAUUGGGCAAUAACAUCAUGAAGGAUUCCACCCAUGCUGCUCACGGACUGUCUGUCCCAUUCCCAUCAGGGAGGAAACUAUGUAGCAUCCACGCCAGGACCAACAGACACAAAACUGUUACUUUCCCCAAGUAGUAAGGCUGAUCAAUUUCACCCACGAACCCACCCUCCAUGCCCCCAACUACCACUACUUCAUCAUUUCCUAUCAAUCAGACACUCCUUAGCCUAGCAUCACUUUAUGGACAUACAGUCAAUCUAUGUAUAUAAGCUAUCUUAUGUAUUUAUAUUUAUUGCAUGUUUUUAUUAUUAUUGUAUUCUUUAUCUUAUUGUG
Hypanus sabinus (Atlantic stingray) is the source of this 5451-nucleotide long non-coding RNA. RefSeq lists it as uncharacterized. The transcript is spliced from 3 exons. The record is from RefSeq and is a predicted model, not a curated record. Lineage: Eukaryota; Metazoa; Chordata; Chondrichthyes; Myliobatiformes; Dasyatidae.